UACAGAGGGUGCAAGCGUUAAUCGGAUUUACUGGGCGUAAAGGGCGCGUAGGUGGUUAUGUAAGUGAGAUGUGAAAUCCCCGGGCUUAACCUGGGAACUGCGUCUUAUACUGCAUAGCUUGAGUACAUGAGAGGGUAGUGGAAUUUCCGGUGUAGCGGUGAAAUGCGUAGAUAUCGGAAGGAACACCAGUGGCGAAGGCGGCUACCUGGCAUGAUACUGACACUGAGGCGCGAGAGCGUGGGGAGCAAACAGG
RNAcentral lists this ribosomal RNA (253 nucleotides) under uncultured Gammaproteobacteria bacterium. RNAcentral describes it as "partial 16S ribosomal RNA". It matches the Rfam family "Bacterial small subunit ribosomal RNA", at positions 524 to 776 of the family's 1533-position model. Lineage: Bacteria; Pseudomonadati; Pseudomonadota; Gammaproteobacteria. RNAcentral also lists the same sequence under 1 other name. The record is from RNAcentral.